CCGCCCACCGUCAGCCCGUCUCGCUCGGCUCUGACUAUUGCACGGCUUCAUUCCCUCGGCUGAGCCACAAGCCCACAACACAUCAAUUAAUUUGGCAAUUAAUCAUUUUGCAGAAAAACGGGAGCCAUCCCAAAAUCUCUCCCUCUCCCAUUCUACGCGCUCGCGGAAACAGCGACAGAUAUCCUGUUUCUUCUCUCAUCUUUCUCCAGUCUCGUAAAGCAGGCACCACUACUCCUCGUGAUGGCGGCACGGCGUGCUGGUCCGGCGAGCUCAGUUGCGACGCUGCCGCUCGCCCACCCUCUGGCAUGUCUUCGUCGGCAACCAGAUCUGCCAUGACCCACGAUGCGAAAAAUCUGGCAUCCUCCCGGCGUAUCUGCAACCAUGGAUCUCUGUGUGCGACAGCGGCUCCCAUCGCCCCAUCGGUGGAAGCCUACGGCCCGGCGACAUGCCUGGUGGCGUUCUGAUUGAAGUUCGAUUCUUUUAGCAGAUUCAUUGGUCAAUCAUGCUUUGCGAUCUCCAACUAGAGCAAAGAGGUAUAUUUCAGUUGGAAUGUCACAAGGAUUGGUCUAAUUCCUUCUGCUUUUGGUUAUAUUGCUACUAUAUAAGCGAUAAUCUUUUACCGUAGUCACGAGAAAUAUUGUAAAUCCCCAUGUGAAAUAUCUUUAAUCAUUAGCUGUCACACAACAAAUUUGCACAUGUAACUGAGAUGUAUAAGUCCAGUAUAGGAUGGAAACCAACAUAGUUGGGUUAAGCUUUGGUUACUAUUUGAUGAUCUGUAUUAGUCAUAUAUUUAGCCAAAGUUGUUUAUAACAUGUGUGGGCCUUUCUGCAGCUGAAUAAUUUCUUUUGAAUUCUGCCUCCGUUGAUGGUCCGGAGCUGGCCGUUUGUGCCAUCCCUUCACUGCUGGGAAUAGGCUUACUAGACCGUCAUACUAAAUCAGUAUUGAUCUGAUUCCUUUUGGAUUAGCAGCAGAUUCCCUCAAGAUUAUCAGCUGAUUAUCACACAAUUCUCGUAAUAUCAUUAACAUUUUGUGACUUAUUUCCCUAAAUUUCCAUAAAUUUAAUUGUAGACAAGUCUAAUAAUUUUACUAGAUCUUCAUUGUCCCUUCACCGCAGCAAAAAUUCACCAUAUAAUUUACUACUACUUUUAAAGUAAGCCGAUUUUCACCAUAUCUGGAUGUGGCACUUAUGUAUCAUGGAACUAACAUCUGAAUUGUGUCGGAAGUUAGUGAAUGUUAUAGCAAGUCCAUGCUUUAUCUGAAUUGUGUUUGUCGGAAUUCAUAGCUAGAAAAUUACGUCAAUCAAUAUUGUAUACUUGUAUUACAGUAAUUCGGACCAUAAGUGCAUAUCUACCAUAAGUUUUCAGGUGAUGAGCUCUUUCUGUCAAGUUCCACGCAAGAUGAACUCACCUAAGAGCAGCCAACGGGCAUUGUGCAUUGAUCUGAGUGCAAUAUCUGGCCAACCAGCUGCAACUGAAUGAGAGCAACUCUAAAUGAUCCUCUAAAAUUCUGAAUGUAAAUGUAUUUAGCUAACAAUGUUUCUAUUAGUGUGCGAUGUUUCUAAAUUGUUGUACAGUUCGUAUCCUGCUAAAAUGGCUUACAUGUGUAUAUUAUAGUGAUCCAUUUUCUCGAUUAAUGUAUUAUGGUAAUUGACCGUAUGUAUUUCGGUAUGUUCGCCAUUGUGGUAAUUCAUACAUGCUCCGCCAA
This is a long non-coding RNA of Panicum virgatum (switchgrass), 1704 nucleotides long. RefSeq lists it as uncharacterized. The record is from RefSeq and is a predicted model, not a curated record. Lineage: Eukaryota; Viridiplantae; Streptophyta; Magnoliopsida; Poales; Poaceae. The transcript has 2 exons.